UACGUAGGGGGCAAGCGUUGUCCGGAAUCAUUGGGCGUAAAGCGCGUGUAGGCGGCCAGAUAAGUCCGCUGUGAAAACUCGAGGCUCAACUUCGAGCUGUCGGUGGAAACUUUCUGGCUAGAGUCCGGAAGAGGAGAAUGGAAUUCCUGGUGUAGCGGUGAAAUGCGCAGAUAUCAGGAAGAACACCCGUGGCGAAGGCGGUUCUCUGGAACGGUACUGACGCUGAGACGCGAAAGCGUGGGGAGCGAACAGG
This 253-nucleotide ribosomal RNA is filed under the name uncultured bacterium. RNAcentral describes it as "partial 16S ribosomal RNA". It matches the Rfam family "Bacterial small subunit ribosomal RNA", at positions 524 to 776 of the family's 1533-position model. The record is from RNAcentral.